RNAcentral lists this ribosomal RNA (426 nucleotides) under Pseudomonas sp. 2C. RNAcentral's name for it is "bacterial SSU rRNA". It matches the Rfam family "Bacterial small subunit ribosomal RNA", at positions 40 to 466 of the family's 1533-position model. Lineage: Bacteria; Pseudomonadati; Pseudomonadota; Gammaproteobacteria; Pseudomonadales; Pseudomonadaceae. The record is from RNAcentral.
CGGCAGGCCUAACACAUGCAAGUCGAGCGGAUGAGUGGAGCUUGCUCCAUGAUUCAGCGGCGGACGGGUGAGUAAUGCCUAGGAAUCUGCCUGGUAGUGGGGGACAACGUUUCGAAAGGAACGCUAAUACCGCAUACGUCCUACGGGAGAAAGCAGGGGACCUUCGGGCCUUGCGCUAUCAGAUGAGCCUAGGUCGGAUUAGCUAGUUGGUGGGGUAAAGGCCUACCAAGGCGACGAUCCGUAACUGGUCUGAGAGGAUGAUCAGUCACACUGGAACUGAGACACGGUCCAGACUCCUACGGGAGGCAGCAGUGGGGAAUAUUGGACAAUGGGCGAAAGCCUGAUCCAGCCAUGCCGCGUGUGUGAAGAAGGUCUUCGGAUUGUAAAGCACUUUAAGUUGGGAGGAAGGGCAGUAAGUUAAUACCU